GGUGCAAUGGCGAAAUGGGAACGCGGUCGUCUGCAAAACGACUAUGCGCGGGUUCGAUUCCCGCUUGCACCU
RNAcentral lists this transfer RNA (72 nucleotides) under bacterium. Its description in RNAcentral is "tRNA-Cys". It matches the Rfam family "tRNA". Rfam says of the family: Transfer RNA (tRNA) molecules are approximately 80 nucleotides in length. The record is from RNAcentral.